CGACGGAGUAGAAGCGUUCAGUCCGGUGCCCUGCCAACCCUGGCGACACCGACAGGAAAUUGCUCCCGAC
This 70-nucleotide non-coding RNA is filed under the name Burkholderiales bacterium. RNAcentral's name for it is "Xanthine-I sequence". It matches the Rfam family "Xanthine riboswitch aptamer (NMT1 RNA)". Rfam says of the family: Later it was reported as a ncRNA that recognised Xanthine. The record is from RNAcentral. Lineage: Bacteria; Pseudomonadati; Pseudomonadota; Betaproteobacteria; Burkholderiales.